This 345-nucleotide ribosomal RNA is filed under the name Triticum aestivum (bread wheat). RNAcentral describes it as "partial small subunit ribosomal RNA". Lineage: Eukaryota; Viridiplantae; Streptophyta; Magnoliopsida; Poales; Poaceae. The record is from RNAcentral.
CGGCCCAAUACGCGCUACUCCGCCGACGAGUAUGUGUGCACCGCCUCGACGUCGACGCCAUCACCCGUCCCCACCUCCGCUCGUGCUGCCCUUCGGGAUCCCCACUGGCUAGCUGCGAUGCAGGAGGAGUUCGAUGCCUUACAGCGCAACCGCACGUGGCAGCUUGUUCCGCGACCCCCUCGUGCCAACAUCAUCUCUGGCAAGUGGGUGUUUCGCCACAAGACUCGCCCAGACGGUUCUCUCGAGCGCUACAAGGCUCGCCGGGUGGUUCGUGGUUUUCGGCAGCGCGCGGGCGUGGACUUCACCGACACUUUCGCCCCGGUUGUGAAACCGGGCACGAUCCGC